AUGAACGCUGACAGAAUGCUUAACACAUGCAAGUCAACUUGAAUUUGGGUUUUUAACUUAGGUUUGGGUGGCGGACGGGUGAGUAACGCGUAAAGAACUUGCCUCACAGCUAGGGACAACAUUUGGAAACGAAUGCUAAUACCUAAUAUUAUGAUAAUAGGGCAUCCUAUAAUUAUGAAAGCUAUAAGCGCUGUGAGAGAGCUUUGCGUCCCAUUAGCUAGUUGGAGAGGUAACGGCUCACCAAGGCGAUGAUGGGUAGCCGGCCUGAGAGGGUGAUCGGCCACAAGGGGACUGAGACACAGCCCUUACUCCUACGGGAGGCAGCAGUGGGGAAUAUUGGACAAUGGACCAAGAGUCUGAUCCAGCAAUUCUGUGUGCACGAUGAAGUUUUUCGGAAUGUAAAGUGCUUUCAGUUGGGAAGAAAGAAAUGACGGUACCAACAGAAGAAGUGACGGCUAAAUACGUG
RNAcentral lists this ribosomal RNA (466 nucleotides) under uncultured bacterium. RNAcentral describes it as "partial 16S ribosomal RNA". It matches the Rfam family "Bacterial small subunit ribosomal RNA", at positions 29 to 507 of the family's 1533-position model. The record is from RNAcentral.